AUUCUUGGCACAAGGCACAGGAGUUGCAGAAGAAAUGAACGCAGCAAUCGUUGCAAGGUUUUUCCUCCAACAUGUACUGCCCCCUCAGUUGGGUUCGAUAGCCGCAAGUAAUGCAGCAUGCUAAGUUAGUAUAGUAAUUAAUUGCUGCAUAUAAACAUCCAUGCCAAAAACAACCUGCAUACGCAUGCACAUUUUGUUCACUUCCAAUUUCAACAUCAUCGUCAAAUUUUAAUCACUUAAUUUAACGCACGUCUUGGGCUGUUUCCGUAUGAAGCGCUCAUGUUAAGAGUUAUAAGUACGUGCUUCUAUUAUGAAAAUAUUGAAAAUUUUAUAAUUAUCCAAGUUUAGAUAUCGAGUUACUGGGUUCUUAAAAGAAACAUUACUGGUUUGUCCUUUGGAGACAAUCUCUGCAACACGCCCAGCAACAACGCAAGGACACCAAAAUCCCAAGCAGCCUGCAGUCCAAAUUACGUUAUAUAUAGGUUUAGGGUUUGUAUGAUCAAAUCAUCAAUCGAUAUAUAUUCAUAUACCAAAUAAGUAAACAUGGUAUAAUUGAUUUAGUUAGCUAGCCAGGAAGGGAAGAGAAUAGAAGCUGCGCUUACAGACACUGCAGUCACUGAAGCAGUCAAGCAGGCCAGUGGUCCAUCCACCCGACAUCUUUUUUUCCACACCGUUGGGGCAUAUACAUACACACACCAUGCAUAUAUAUAUGCGAUCGAUGUUAAUGGAAUCUGCACUAGACCGCACUAUGCAUGUUUUGCCUUGACGUGCAGAAUUGUCAUGAUCAUGGAUAGCAACGGCAGAUGAAGGAGCAUUUAUACGAUGAAGUACGAGUAAAUACAUGUUCACGACCGAAAAAAACCGAGACGAUGUUUUUUAUUUAUUUUUUGAAUGAAAAAAAGGUUUAUUAUAUUAAUAUCCCAUAAAUUGUUGAAUAAACUUCACAUACUUAAUACACCAUAUAUUUGCUUUUUCACUUAAAAAUUAUCUUAAUACACCUUACAUAAUUUCCCAUAAUAUCCUUACACCCCACAUUCUCAAUAUACACCUUAUAUUUUGUACAUACACCCCACAUCUGAUCUAGCAGGCCAUUCGACAACACUUUACUGACUGCACAGUCAUUACUAUUGCGCGUUGUGGAGCCAAAAAUAAUCAAGAAGAAUAUGGAGGUGACACGUGGAUUGUAGGGUAAAAAGGACAAAACCACCCUCGAGGAACACAAGAACUCCUACGCGCGAGCAGGGGACAACCAUCCCUCAAUCAAGUCAAAAGUGCCCAAAAUAGGUAUUUAUUUAAAACAUAUUUCAUCCAUCCUCAUCAAAUAUUCUCCACAAGGUAACCACCAAAUCUUUCAUUUCAAAUUAUAUUAAUUAGCUAAUUAAUUGAUUUAUUAUUCAAUUAAUUUAUUAAUUAGCUACAAAUCAUGGAUCUCACCCAAAAAAUCAUCCAAGCGGUCGGUCUAUCUCCUCCCAAAGGGACCGGCCACAUCCAUAUAUAAACACCCUCAUUUUCUCCAAAACCUAAGUUUUACACUCUUGCUAAAUUCUCCAAACAUUUUUCCCUCAAAAUUCUAACUUUGGCAUCGAAGGUUCUUCGGCCAAAGCCCUCUUCAUUCAUCGUGGGCGUGUGAGGCUCUUGGCCUUGACCGAAGGUGUUAUUUGUUUUGUAGGUACAAUUUUGUCCAAUAACAAGGAGGAAUAAAUUUGCAUCCACAAAUUUGUACUUUCAUUGAGAGUUGAGUCACACGCUUGUAAAAGACUCUCGCAUCUAAGGUUUUUUGUUUCUUUGCUUAUUUGUAGAUUUUUCAUACAUUCUUAUUCUUGGAAUUUUUAUUUCUAAAAAUUCUUUACUAAAACGUAAAACAAAAGUACAAUGGCAAGAGAUUCGGAAACCUCGACAAACGGAAAUUCCAACGUUCAAGGAUUAUGACCACGGCGAUCUACAAGGCAUAACAUAACGAUAAGCAGAACGGCACCCCCACGAGGCACCACCACGGCAGCCACCUUUGGCAAAACCCAAGGCUCUAAGGCCACGACCUAAGCCGUGCCAUUUCAACCUUCAAGGGCCCAAGCCUUAGCUGAGCCAGCCCGUGCCGUCUAAACCCAACGCAAGCCCAACACGUUGCCAAGCUGAGCCCAAGCUUCACACCCGCGUGCGCCACACGUCGAGCAACUCACUCCCGUGGCCCAGUCUGCUCCCCUCCCAUUACCCAGCCCACUCUCAUGGCCCAACCUGCUCCCGUAGCUCAACCUGCUCAUGUGGCCCAGCCUGCUCCCGUGGCCUUCCAAGUAGCCCAAAUCGGUCCAAGAUUAGUUCAACCGUCCUGGCUUCAAAUUUAUGGGCUUACAAUAAAAUUGGGGGCAUUUUUCACCACAUUUCUCCGCGGAUUUGCCAUUUCUCAACUUAAAUCUCGCACCCGGAGUCUACCACACUUCCACUGCUCAAGGAGACAUAUUCAUUCCAAGCUCUUCCAACCUAAAUAAGGAACAACACUUGUCUCGACAAGUCAUAUAAUUAACGAGCACCUUCGCACAUCAGAUGACCUUGGUGAAUCAACUAUUGCAGCGUACCGAGAUGCAACGUGCCCCAAAGGAGGUGUCCUGAAGUAAGACAAUGGUAGACAAAGAACUUCUCCAGUAGCGUCCCUGCAAGUAGCCACUCGACCAGCCACGAACUGAGCGUUCGAGCAAUGUACACUCCCGAUUGGGCCCCCAAGAUAGCGUAUACUCCCGUCUUAACACGCGGAGGAGCAUGCACUCUCGAAUAGGGCCACAAACGAGCAUAUAUUCACUGUUAAGGCCACACUUUGAUAGUCAACAUAAGCAACCUUCCAAGUGAAGUGUUCAUUCGAAGCUAGGCCCGCAAAGAGCAUCAUCCACCUCACAUCAGAGUAGGCAGCACGAAGGACAGAGAGAAUCAAUCACUCAGUCUGGCUUAAACUCAACUAAUAGCCUGCGAAGAAUUCCCUCGCCUGCUAGAAACGAACCACAUGCAUCGCAGCCGCGACAUAGACGAGUCAAGUACGUAGAAGAGCAUCCUAGACCAGUAGGUCACGACUGGGGCCAACCGAGAGCUCUGUUACCCCCAAUAAAAGAAAAUUUAGGAAGAAGUAGAAAUGCUCAUGACUGAGCGAUUGCGCGAUUUCCAAGGUAACAAGGUCAUUAAUGAGGCACCACGAUGAGACAUGACCAACAUAAGUAGGUCACCCUUCAUUGACGAGAUUGAGCAGGCAGAGCCUCUAUUCAAGUUCAACAUGCCACAUUUCACAUCCUUCAAAGAGGAUGGAGACCCGGAGAGACACCUAAAGCACUACCAAAAUGCAAUGAUCAUCUAUCGAAACAACAACGAUCUCAUAUGCAAGAUGUUCGCCAUCAUUCUACAAGGCAAGGUAAAAGAUUAGUUCUACACCCUGCCGCCACAAUCCAUAUGGAGUUUGGACGAAUUUUCUUUGGUUUUUACCAAAGAAUAUUCAUCAUAUCACUCGAUCAAGAAAAAGUCCGACCACUUGUUCAACGUCAAAAGAACCCAAAUGAGUCACUUCAUGACUAUGUGAAAAGGUUCAAAGCAGAGAAGGCAAAGAUAGUCGGAUGCAACGACUAGAUAACUAGAGCAACCUUCCAAAAAUGACUUUCAGCAGACCACCUGUUGUUUAGAAAAUUGAUGAUAAAAGAAGAUUUAACUCUGGCAAACUCUUUCUCUUUGACAAAGAACCAUGCAUUUGGGACGAGGCUCGCCGAUCCAGAUGCAAAGACUUGAAAUAGAACAUGACAUCACUUCUCUACUAUCCAAACCUGAAGCGACGAAUAAUCUAUUCGCAUGUUUGAUGGUAUCUGAAGCAGCAAUAAGCUCUACCAUCAUACGAGAAGAAUUGGGGGCCCGACUACCUAUAUUCCACAAUUCAAACACUCUUCUCAAUGCUACCAGAAAUUCAAAAGCUAACUUUGGCGAUAGUUGUUGCAACCUGGAAGCUUAAGUUUUACUUUCAGACACAUGCAGUCAUCUUCAUGAAGCACUAUUUCGCCCAAUCCAGACGCGUGUCGAUAAAGGCGUAGACAUUGGCGGAUGCAAAAUUUUCUGACGAACGUAACAACUCGACCCAAAAGACGCCCCAAUGGCAGACGAACACUAGAAUGACUCACUUGGAAUCAAGUUUUGCCCUCAUUACCCCAAAAGAUUCUACAUAGGAGAAACAUGUACCGGUAGUUAAACACCACCUUCUGCUACGUGUCACACAACCCUCGCUGACCCUUACUCCAUAAUUCAACUAUAGAGUGACUCAAUACUGGUAGUUGAGCAUCUCUUAUUACGUUUAACAUGGCCCCAGCUCCAAGGCUCCCUACCAUGCAUUCACAACGCAACAUGGUGACCCAACGACAGCUUCACGACUCCCUAUUGUUCCUUCACACCUAGUUUAGGAGACGCAAAAAAACGACUUAACAAUGCCCCGGAGGUAGCCGAGCACGCUCUAGCCGUGCCUGCUCCACUCGAUGGAGACCUCUAGCAUUUACAUGUCGACGGCGCAUCCAACUACAAAGGUUAAGGAGCAUGCAUGGUCCUUGUCACCCCAGACGGUUCGAUGCUUAAGCAUGCGAUCACUUUAGGCUUCAAAACAUCCAACAACGAAGCAAAGUGUGAGGCCCUACUAGCAGGCAUCUAAAUGGUAAAAGAUUUGGCGGUGAAAAAGCUCGCAAUUCAUUCUGAUUCCCAGCCAAUCACUAGCCAGACUACUUGAGGCGUUUCAAACUUACACCCUUACUCAAGUUCCACGGGUAGACAACAUUCACAUGGACGCACUAGUUGGCCUAGGCUCAUCCUUUAACCGCUAAAGGCAGCAAACUAGAGGUGGAAUAUCUAGACAAGCCAAGUAUAGAGGCGGAGCCAGCAGCCGAGGUGUCACAAGCUAAUACAAUUCCAAACUGGCAAGAUUCUAUUAUAGACUACCUGGUUAAUGACACACUCCCCAUGGAAAUAUUGGAGUCUAGAAAGCUCCAAACAAAGGCAGCGCGCUAUUACAUGUGGAACGACAUUCUCAUAUGAAGAUCCUACAUUGGACCACAUCUCCGCUGUUUAGCAUCUCCCGACGACUUAAAGGUUCUAAGCUCAAUCCAUGAAGGCAUUUUUGGAAAUCACUCCGGAAGCCAAUCCUUAACACAGAAGGCUUUAAACGUAGGCUACUACUGGCAUACCAUGCACCAAGACGCUAAAGAGUUAGUUCAAAAGUACGAUCGCUGCCAACACUAUAAGUCGAUAUCAGCACUGUCUGCCAGCAAAUUACACCCGCAGACAAGUCCUUGGUCGUUCACGCAAUGGGAAAUCGACCUGGUAUGACCAAUGUUGCCCGCUACUAGGGGCAAAGGCAUGACGAUUGUGAUAACCAAUUACUUCACCUAAUGGGUAAAAGCAGAGCCCAUGACUACCAUGACAUAAAAGGACAUAAAGCGUUUCAUAUGGAGGAACAUCAUUUGCCGAUUUGGCAUCCCUCAAUCCAUCGUCACAAAUAACGCCCCGUAAUUCGUAGGAAAAAAUUUGGCAAAGUUCUUCCAAAAGUAUGGCAUCAAGCAGCACAUGUCCACGCCAAGAUAUCCUCAAGGCAAUGGGCAGGCCAAAACAUCCCAUUAGACGAUCCUUAACUGCUUCAAGAAGUCCAUCUCCGACAAAAAGGGAAAAUAGCCAAAUGAACUUCCCGGAUGUCUAUAGGUGUAUCACAUCACCAAAUGAUGAGCCACCAGUGAAACUCAUUUCUUUUUGGCAUUUGGUUCAAAAGUGAUCAGUUAUCCCAAUGUCAUUGUGCUAGGUAUCAACACUCAACUGCCAAGCAUCGAGUAGAACAGUAAGGCGAUGGCCACAACCUUAAAUCUGGCAGAAGAGAAACGAGAGCAGACUAUCACCCUCAUCGUAGCCUACUAGUAGCUCAUCCUCUCCAGCUACAAUAAAAGGGCCAAGAUCCAGUAGUUUCAGCACGGAGAUCUAAACCUAAGGAAAACCUUCAUCACUGCUCGCAGAGAAGACUCCAAAAGAUUAAUUGCAUCUGGGAAGGUCCGUACAAGAUCAGUAGAGUAGGCAGCAAAGGAAAUUACACCCUCGCCACCAUGAAUGACAAAGAGAUCGAAAAGUAGUGGAACACCUACAAUAUGAAGAAGUACCAUGUGUGACUUCCCACUACAUCAAAGCCCGAAGACUCAAGCAACUCGACGGGCACCACCUCACAUGCUGAAGAUUAUCCAAUUGUUAUGCAGUUCUUACAUUACAGCUAAAUUCUCAUUCGUUUCACUUGUUUUUCAAUGAGGAAUUCAAAAGUAAUCUACAACUUAGCUUGGCUACAUGCUUACAACAACUAAUCAUUCAUGCACUUCAAAAGAAGAUCGCGUCAUUCUUAGAGACUCAUCGCAGGAAUUACACCCCCCGAGGGACUAACCAUGUUAUCCAGUGCAAGAAAGUAAACUAAUUCCCCGACACCCAACUGGGUCUGCUCUCCAGUGCAAGAGCGUAAACCAAUUCCCCAACACCCACAUGAGUUUGCUCUUUAAGGUGACAGGAUAAACUUUACACUCCGAAUAUCCAAACGUGGAUGAGCCAAGCUACCCUAGUAUAACUAGGUGCACGAUGGCUUGCGCCGGGAUUCCUAGACGUGGAUGGCCAAUAGAACCAAAGUUCUACACCAACAACUACGGAUGCAUCGGCUACGCGAGCCUGUUUGCUUAUAGAAAAGUAUCACGCAUACCACUUGUCUAUAAAGUCUAAAGGUUAGGGCAUGAACAAAAGAAGCGAAGAUGGAGAAAAACGAAGGAAUCAAGUUUAUUAAAUUUUCUAGCAAAAUUGAUAAACAACUUGCAAAGACCGAAGAAGUUCAAGGAAAGCAAAAGGCAACGAGGGAAACAAAGAAAAUCCUAAAGACUACCUAGACUACUACUUUUCAGCAGCUUAAACACUCCACGAUUACUCGGUCGCCACACCUUCAGCAAUCGCGACAUUCUCAGCAGCGGCACCAUCCGGUGUUUCACCCCCGGCUGCUCCAGCCUAGGCACCAACAUCUCCAACUACUUCACCAAUGGAGGUCUCAAAAGUAUAAGUCAGUUUUCUAGAGAAAUAUAGAAGGUUUCGAAGUCUCUCCCAGCAAACUUGAAGUCAGAUGGCUUACCAAAUAGAUGAUCUACAUAACCCAGCUUGUAGAAAUCAGCCUGACUUUGAAUAAGCGGAGCCUCGAGCCCAGCUUUCUCACAUUUCAGCUGCCUGAUCUCCUCGAACAGACCAACACGGACACGCUACAACUCAUCCACUUAUUUCUUCAAACAUUCGUUAUCUUAUGUGCAUCUUAAAGUUCCAACACUUGGGGUUCAAGCCUAUCAACAACCUUCUUGAAGUGGAUCACUUGGUUAUAAGCAGCAAUCAACUCUUCAUCCUUUAUAUAAGUAGUGGAACGAAGCUCAGAAAUGGCACGCUCAAGAUCUUGAAUCUAAGGUCAAGCCUAGUCUUCAAGUUAAUGAUCUCUUGGCGAACGGUCUUACGCUACAAAGAAGUGGGGGCAGAGAUAUUAUACCCCUUCAAAGUGACGAGCUCAGAUUCUAACCUUUUGAUAUUCUCGGCAAAAGAAUAAGCUUCGCUGCCUUUGCCACCUCAUCGGCAUCCUUGGUAUCCUCUUGGUCAAUGAGCAUAGACUCGGCUGCCAGAAUAGCCAUCUUCUGCAUCAUUGCAAGUAGAAAAGUUUUCUUAUACUCGACCAUAUGUUUCGCAAAGGGACAUGGGCAAACAACCAUUCUAACGCCUUCGACAAACUUGGCACAAAUGUCCAUGUUUUCAAGCAUAUCUGGUUUCAAAAGUGCACAGAUCUCAACAGCCUCCACAAAAGCAGGUUUAGUGGAUUCUUCAUAGUUGCCCACACGUGUAGUCUCAUUCUUCCCAGCAGACGAAUCAAUCUCAACAGCAGAGAAGUAGGCAUUAGCGCCACUUUAGUAGCAGAGUCCACCUUAUCGCUCUUCAUAUUAGCGAGCCUCUUUAAAGGUGAACCAGACUUAGCUCCUAACAGACGCCUUGCAUUGGUUUUGGCACUAGGGGAACAAUGGAGCCUUUUCGGUGAGCAAUCCUAUCGGCAAUCGAACUAGCCAUCUUUGGCAUAGCAGGCGUCACUGGCUCAAAUCUAGUAGCCUCAUUUUUCGUCCCCUUGGAAUAUCUCAGCCGGCACCUCUUGAGCAGGCAAGGAAUAUCUCUUUUUCCCAUCUUCAUCCGUAACAGGCUCCACUACAGCGAUCAGACGAGCCAACGCAUCCACCUUGAUUUGCUUUAUCUCAUCUCUCAAGGGUAGCCCACAUUUCUCCCGACAAAGAGGACUAAGCAGCCAACGCCGUUCACGGUACUCAGCAGGGAAGCUCAACCCAUGAUGGUUUUUCCCUCAGUUUUUCUCUCGAACUAGUAGGCAAGAGGUUUGCAUGCCCAUCAUUCUAAUAGCCCAAGAGGCCCACGACCUUAUCAUUACUCUCAAUCACCGACCUAGCCCGCGUUAGGUCUAAGAGCCGAAAAGGACAUGAGUCAUGUGACUCGCCUAGCAUUGCGCCCCAGCGCCAUAAUCUGCGACCCCAAUGCCAUAAUUCGUGGGCCCAAUCACACAGCUGCCUUUGGCUUUAGCCAAACUAAGCAGCCCAAGUAGUGGUCCAUGCCACAACACCUCAUCGGCCGAUUCCGAGCCAACUCCUGGCCCCUGCCAGCCGAAGUGCCACACCACCCUGAUGGUUGCCUCACGGUAGCACAAUCCAAGAAGAAGACAAGGAAAAUUAAUUUUUUCUUACCUUGGUGUGGUACGGAGAAGACGAAGAAAACGAUGAAAGACGGUCCUUUGCACAGGCAAGUGUAAAAGAUUGCUAGGGGAGGGGGAACAAAUAUCAUCUAACUUUCUCUCUCUUGUAGUGUAUAAUAGAUUGCUCUCUAAAGUUGAUUUAAUCAUCUACUUAAGGUAGACUUAAAUAAGUGAUUUAUUUCCAUUUCCUAGAAAGAUCUAAUUUCCAAUUAAAGAGAUAGAAAACAAUGUUAUGUUUCCUAAAGCAAGAAGAUCUCUUCACCUGCUGCCUUUUCCUGCAAACAGCCUAACAGGUGUGAAGGCAUUUGUAGAGCAAAAAAUAAUCAAGAAGAAUAUGGAGGUGACACGUGGAUUCUAAGGUAAAAAGGACAAAACUACCAUCGAGGAACACCAGAACUCUUACGCGCAAGCAGUGGACAACCAUCAUUCAAUCAAGUCAAAAGUGCCCAAAAUAGGUAUUUAUUUAAAACCUAUUUCAUCUAUCCUCAUCAAAUAUUCUCCACAAGGUAACCCCUAAAUAUUUCCUUUCAAAUUAUAUUAAUUAGCUAAUUAAUUGAUUUAUUAUUCAAUUAAUUUAUUAAUUAGCUACAAAUCAUGAAUCUCACCCAAAAAACCAUCCAAGUGGCCGGUCCAUCUCCUCCCAAAAGGGCCGGCCACACCCCUAUAUAAACACCCUCAUUUUCUCCAAAUUAAACCUAAGUUUUACACUCUUGCUAAAUUCUCUAAAUUCUCCAAACAUUUUUCUCUCUAAAUUCUAAUUUUGGCAUCGAAGGUUCUUUAGCCAAAACCCCCCUCCAAAAAAAAAAUCAUCGUGGGCGUGUUAGGCUCUUGGCAUUGACCAAAGGUGUUAUUUAUUUAGAAAAACUAAUGAAAAUGACUUGAAAACUUUGAGUUUUAAUGACAAAAUAAAGAGUAAAGUGAAUAGUAUCAUGAUUGACUUUUUAGUGUAAAAAUGUGGCUUUUCGUUAAAAUGAAUAGUACCUGGAGCUUUUCGUUAAAGUUCCCUAUUUAUUUUGUAUGUGCAAUUUUGUCCAAAAAUAAGAAGGAAGAAAUUUGCAUCCACACGCAUUGUAUAACAUCUAUUCUUGACAGUGACAUGGUUCUACUUCUAAGUCACAGUUAGUAUUGCCAUAUGAAUCCAUUCAACUUUCCUAAUGAUCCUCAUAGUUAUUUACUGUAAUGUGUUUUUGAUCGGGUUGCAGGGAUCCAAAAGAAGAAAAGGGCAAACAAAAGAACUCCUAACACAACACCUCCAACAAAUGCCAGAGAUAAAGCUUUUAAUUUGGACCAAAAAUGCCGACUAGAAUUUGACAAAAAUGUUACCUGGGAUUUAAAUCAUAUAUGAGUUUGUUUUCAAUUCUACCAUUAAAACACAUCUCGUCUGUUUUUAAUAUUUGGUGGUAAUUUAGGUGUUUAAUUCUUCAUGUAAUCAUUGUGAUCCCUAAAAGAUGAAUAUGAAUAUAGAAGUUUAAAUAACGCAGCAAAUGCAAGAUUAAAUAAUUAUCGAUGUCGUCAAAAUCACUAAAACAAUGAAAAAUAUGAAGUCUUACCUCAUGUGAAGCUUCCGAAACAUCGAUUUCGUGUUCCAUUCGUCAAAAACAAUUUUUCUCAAUCAACAUGUUUGUAGUUUCAUUGGUUAGGGUUUUGUUCAGCAAUGGAAGGUAGGAGGGUUUUGAUAAUUGAGAAGAUAAAUAAUACGCUAAAUAUGAUUUGGGGUGUAUUUAGAAUUUAAAAAAAAACAAAAAACAUAAUAAGGUCAAAAUUAUCAUUACCUAGAAAUGUUCAUUUUCUAAGUUACUCUUUGAACUUAAUCACGCACAAAACCAACUAAAUAAAGACAUUUAAUUGUUCAAUUAAAAUUGUCAUAAUUUGAAUUAUUAACUGAAAAAUGUGGUUUGCCUCUUGAUUAAAGAAUAAUCAGAUGAGCAAAAUAUCUUCAUUUUAACUUUUUUUUUUUGUAAAAAAUAAAUUUUAAUGGGCCUAUUUACUCCAUAAUUUACACAAAAAUAGAAUUAUGAGAUUGAGAUCUUGAGUAAAGAUGGAUAAUUAAUAUUUUAGUAAGCAAAUUAACAUCUCAGAUGACGAAAGAAUGCUCUAUAAGAUAGAUUAUUACAUACAAACAAAGCAAGAGGUUCUCAUGAGUGGGAGAGAUUUUUCAGUGUUCCCGUCAUACGAAAUGGUACAUCACGUGUGUUUAUAUAAAUGAUGGGUUAUAUGUGUUAAAAAGUUAAUAACUUAAAAAUUAAAAUUUUUCACUACUUGUAUAAAAACACGUGAUGUACUAUCUGUAUUCUCGUCACAACUAAAUUUUUUUUCAUGAGUGGGCCGGUUUGCAUCAUUCAACCUUGUAUUAUUACUCUGGUUCAUGGUCGUCACUUUAGACCCACAACGUGGGAAACGAGGAGGGGUUACGUGGUUCUUAUACACCUUUCACUACCUACUUUUUCGUCAAGUUUUAUAAGGAACUGUCAAUAAUUUUCUCAUCACAAACAAAAAAAACAUUGUAUGGCUUGAAUGCUAUGUAUUAUUUAGUGUUACAAGUAUUUUAACUGUUAAAAUUGAUUUUUAUAAUUAUUUAGAUCUUUUAUUUUCAAUCUUAAUAUUUUCUUCAUAAUAUGUAGUAUGAAAAAAAAAAUUGCAAGUCCCUUUAAACUAAUAAGAUGCGUCAUUGCUUGCAUCACUCAUGACCUUAUUGAUGGGAACUUCUCUAGGGGAAUGAGAGUCACACAAUGGGUCAUAUAUAAAUAAGUAUAGUUUAAAUGUCUCAAUAGUCUUUGGGUUCUAGUUAUUAGGUCAAUUUAGUCUCCGUGAUUUUAAUUUGACCAAUUUGGUCCUUAUAUUUAUCUUUGUUAACCAAUUAAGGAUAUUUCAUCCAAUCUCUAUUAAAAAAGUAAUAAAUAAUUAAAAACUUAUUUAUAAGAAUAUCUAUUUGAUCUUAAAAUGAAAUAAAAUUAAAAAUUAAAAGAAAAAUUACUCUUCUCCCUAACGUUCUAUCAUCUCCUAAUUUUCUUGCACACCCACUCGCUCCCCUCCCCUCCUCCACCCUCUUUUCUAGAUCACGAGAAUUAAAUUGGCCAAAUUUAAAAUAUGGGGACUAAAUUGACCAAAUGGCUAUAACACACGAACCAUUUUUUAACAUUUAAGGCAAUAAGUAAUGAACUCAAUCCAAAAAAUAUUAUAUGUUCUCAUCAUGAAUUAUAAUAUAAUAGUUUUAAACCCUCCCCUCUCCUUAAUAAUAGUAGUUUUUUUUUUAUUCCACAAUGACCUUAGUUCAAAUCCAAAAGACAUUAAACAAACCAAACUCAAGUGACUCAAACUCAAUAAUUAGGGAUAAAAGCAAUGUCUCCUGACCAAUUACCCUAAUUUACAUCGCCAUCACAUGUACAAACUUUACAUCGACUUGUUUAUGGUUGUAGAUUAGCAUUUUCUCCAUAUCACAUUUCAAAGUAAUAAAAAGCCGUUUAGUACUACGGUUUAGUGGUAUUACUCUCCACACUAUUACUAGCUCAUUGUGAGGCUAAGAUCACCCUCUCCCCUAAUAUCGUUUAUUUAAAAAAAAAAAACAAACCGUUUGUUUGCAUAACUAGUGGUUUCUUCAUCAAUUUGGGAUUUGGAUACAAUUAUAAUUAUUUCAGAAUAAUUGGGGCAGGGUACAUGGGUGACCUAGAUUAGAGCACCACUACACUCCUCACAAUUGACAUUUGGGUGUUGAAAUCAAUAGUGGGCUGAAAAAUAUGAAAGUAGGCCCACCAACGGCCAAUUGAUGUAAGUGGUGGGCUUGGAUUCUUGGAGGAAGAAAGGCCUCGAGUCUGGGAACGAGGCUGAGCUGUUGGGCUCACCAACGAUGGCUCCCACCAGCAAAUUGGGGUUGGGCUUUGGACUUAAGAAGUAUCAUCUAGACCCGGCUUUGCACCCGAUGCGGGCCGGGUGGGCAUGCACCGACGGUGAUGAGCUGCUCCGGUGGUGUAUCAUCUGUGGGUAGCGUGCACCGUAUCCAACCAUGAACGACAUCCUCAGUGAAACCUAGAAUAAUUGAAUCAUUAAUUCACAAGUACAGUAAAUGAUCCAAUAUUUCAUCCAAAUUAAACCCCAAUAUAAAUCACGUUAACAGAUUAAUCACAUAUGUACUUAUAUAUUUAGUAGUAGGACACACACACACACAUAUAUAUAUAUAUACACAUACAGUUUUUGAGAUCGGAGAAGCAGUUGCAGAGGCCGGUGGAUCAAGGGACGAGAGCACGAGGGCGGGGAUAGGGAGGGGGGUGGGUCAUGUGGGAGUGGCCACUGUGUGGGAGCUCAUGUCUUCGUUAGAAGUAGUAAAAUAUGGUUCAGUGCUGGAGCGGACAGGGAUACCUGUCGGCGGAGCAUCUUGGUGGUGAUGGUGCUGGUGCUGGUGGUCGGACGAGGAGUACUUCUCGUAUCCCUUUGGGUGUGACGAGUACGUGAUGGUCGAGUUAGGUGGGGAACGAUGAGGAGGUUGAGCGAAUAUGAUCUCAGACAGACUGAGAGAGAGGACUUGAAAUGUUUUGGUUUAUUCUACAACCAUAGAACGGAUGAAUGCGCUGACUUAGAGAAAUUUUUAGUUGUGAUCGGAAUACAGGUGGUAUACCACUUGUUUUUAUAUAAGUGGUGAAAAAUUAUAUUUUUAAGUUAUUAAUUUUUUAACACACAUAUCACACAAUUUUUGUAAUGACAGAUAAUAUACUACCGCAUGUUCCGGAGACAUUAAAAAAUUUCUCGUUGGCGUACGUCAAGUCUCCUCCGUCUACGAGUCUUCCUGUAUGCUUUCUUCCUUACAGCGCUGCGCUAAAGUUUUUGAAGGCCCAUGGAAAAGCCUGUGAAAAAGGCCCUUUUAUUACGAUCAACUUUUUUCAUGGGACUGAGAUCACCUCCGAAUCCCAGCCUCUGGAGCAAACCGGGCAAAACAUCUUAUUCUUCCAUUUUCAUCUUGCCUUGUUUUGCGUGAGAAUUGUUCAAUAUUUAAAUUUAUUUCUCGUCACAGGAUCAAAAAUGGAAGGAUGGGAUGUCUUGCUCAGUUUGCUUUGGAGGUUGGGAUCCGGAGGUGAUCCCAGUCCUUUUUUGUGGAGUGAUUUUUGAAUAUCUAUUUUCACGUUUUGCACAGUUUUUUUUUUAAUUUUUUUUUAUUCAAUCUAUAAUGACCAAAAAAUAUGGGUGUACAGGAGGCGGAAAAGAUCUUUGGAAAUCACUAGCAGGUGUACUCGAGCGUUGUCAUGGGAUUUUAAACUUUGUUCAAGAAGUGGACAGUCUUGAAAAUAUGUGGCAAAGAGCAUUGCUUACUAUUUACAUUACAUGUAACAUAAAGUCUUGAAACUUUGUUCAAGUUAACAAAAUUGAGGACAUUGGAAUGCCAUACUUAAGGAGUGUUAUUUACAUCUAUAUAUUACAUAAGAAAAAUUGGUAACUCCGAUAAUUAUUUGAUCCUUUUAUGUCCAAAUUGUAUAAAUAAAAAAAACUAAAAUUUGUUCCUUUACAGACACCCAAAUCAGUAACUCCGAUAAUGACUUCUCCUUGGUUUUCCACAAAGCCAUUGAACAUGAAUAUAAUAACCGAUUAGAAACAAUAGAGUCCACACCACUUUAAGAUACACGCAAAUAGUUCCAAAAAAAAAACCGAAAUAAUAGUGAUUUUAUUAUAAUAUUAAGAACUGAUACAAACAUUAAAAAUAAUAUUUGAUAAAAGAGAAUCCACAAUCUACAGAGACUUCAACAAAACAUAAAAGGUCAACUCGAUUGAAUACCAUGGCAAGACAAGCCCACAAACUAGCAAAUGAACACAGUCUUUAAAUUAUUCACACCCAAACUCAACAGACUAAGACGACUCUCCAAAGCCAAAAGAAGUUUAUUCAAGAGACGGCAAACAAAAAUCGAAAGCGAAUUCUUUUAUUCCAUAUGGUAUGAAGCAUCAAGCCAACACCAUUACUAUUUGUAAUCAGUCUGACGAUUCAUGCCACCCUGCACAGCUGGUGCUGUCACCACUCCAGGAUUCUUUGACGCAUUUUGUUCCCAGCCUAACAUUCAUUGAAAUUAACUAGUUAAUUAGGAAUCAUUUUGAAUUAAUACUUUUUAAAGAUAAUUACACGUGUAUAACGCGUAUCGGUUGAUUUAACUAGGAUGGAUAAGGAGGUGCACCGAGACGGUGAAUCUAAGUGAUUGUAUUGGAGGGAGGAAACAACGAAUGUACGUACCAAUGGUAACAUUGAAACCACGGUUCUCGAGCUCACGGUAUUCUUGGCACAAGGCACAGGAGUGGCAGAAGAAAUGAACGCAGCAAUCGUUGCAAGGUUUUUUCUCCAACAUGUACUGCUCCCUCAGUUUGGUUCGAAAGCCGCAAGUUAUGCAGAAACCGCAAGGAAUGCCGAAUGCUAAGUGAGUAUAGGAAUUGAUUAGUGCAUACAAACAUCCCUGCUGAAAACAACCUGCAUACGCAUGCACACUUUUGGAGUUCACUUCCAAUUUCAACAUCAUCCUCAAAUUUUAAUCACUUAAUUUAGGGCGUGUUUUGGGCUGUUUACGUAUGAAGCGCUCAUGUUCGAGUUAAGUACGUGCUUUUAUUACAAAAAUACUGAAAAUUUUAUUAUAUCCAAGUGUUUCUUAUAAAAUCCAAGUGCUUCAUGGAAAGGAAUUUGAAUUUGCUCAUCGAGAAAGUGACUAGUUAACAAGUGCUUCUCGAGAAAGUCUAUUUAAAUUUUUAUGUUAAAGUUAUUCAAAACAACUUUACUAAGGCAGAAAGCAAAGAAGCAAUUCAAAACCGGCCCUCAAUCAAGUUUACAUAUCGAGUUACUGGGUUCUUAAAAGAAACGUUACUGGU
This 15616-nucleotide long non-coding RNA is filed under the name Malus domestica (apple). RNAcentral's name for it is "long non-coding RNA (MDOM_LNC018886)". Lineage: Eukaryota; Viridiplantae; Streptophyta; Magnoliopsida; Rosales; Rosaceae. The record is from RNAcentral.